GACGAACGCUGGCGGCGUGCUUAACACAUGCAAGUCGAACGGAAAGGCCCCUUUGGGGUUACUCGAGUGGCGACCGGGGGAGUAACACGUGAGUAACCUGCCCUAUCCUUCGGUACAACUUCAGGAACCUGGGGCUAAUACCGGAUAGGAAUCCUUGCUGCUUGGGGGGGGUUGGAAAGCUUCUGCGGUUUUGGGUGGACUGGCGGGUUAUCAGCUUGUUGGUGGGGUAGUGGCUUACCAAGGCUUUGACGGGUAGCCGGCCUGAGGGGGCGACCGGCGACACUGGGACUGAGAUACGGCCCAGACUCCUACGGGAGGCAGAAGUGGGGAAUAUUGCACAAUGGGCGGAAGCCUGAUGCAGCAACGCCGCGUGCGGGAUGACGGCCUUCGGGUUGUAAACCGCUUUCAGCAGGGGCGAAGCUUGUGGUGACGGUACCUGCAGAAGAAGCACCGGCUAACUACGUG
Molecule: ribosomal RNA, 465 nt
Filed under: uncultured bacterium
Lineage: Bacteria
Description: partial 16S ribosomal RNA
Rfam family: Bacterial small subunit ribosomal RNA
Source: RNAcentral